UACGUAGGGGGCAAGCGUUGUCCGGAUUUAUUGGGCGUAAAGAGCGUGUAGGCGGCCUGACAGGUCUGCUGUGAAAACUCGAGGCUCAACCUCGAGAGGUCGGUGGAAACCGUCUGGCUAGAGUCCGGAAGAGGAGAGUGGAAUUCCCGGUGUAGCGGUGAAAUGCGCAGAUAUCGGGAAGAACACCCGUGGCGAAGGCGGCUCUCUGGGACGGUACUGACGCUGAGACGCGAAAGCGUGGGGAGCGAACAGG
RNAcentral lists this ribosomal RNA (253 nucleotides) under uncultured bacterium. RNAcentral's name for it is "partial 16S ribosomal RNA". It matches the Rfam family "Bacterial small subunit ribosomal RNA", at positions 524 to 776 of the family's 1533-position model. The record is from RNAcentral.